Molecule: long non-coding RNA, 952 nt
Filed under: Helianthus annuus (common sunflower)
Lineage: Eukaryota; Viridiplantae; Streptophyta; Magnoliopsida; Asterales; Asteraceae
Description: hypothetical non coding rna
Source: RNAcentral
UCAUUGUAAUCCUUCAUCAAUUAAAAAUUUUAUGUCAUCGUACACAACCCCUCAAUAGAAAUCUUGAAGCAAUUACCAGUUACAAAUUAAUCAAUUCAUUACGAUUCAAUUCAAUUCUUUCAUUCUUUUACUUUGUCUUUUAAGUUUCCCCUCAGUUUCCACUCACCCCUUUUAACAUCUGCACAAUGGAAAUCAAACACCCAUAAAUCGGUCCACAUAUCAGUAGAACGAAGACCAGAAGAUUAUGAAGACGUCAAAGACCACCAAUCACCAAUUGAAGCCAAGCUAAUGCCCGUAAAACAUAAGGUCACGGGUCGGCACGUUAUCGGGUCAUGGUUCAAAUGGUUAUUCGUUUAUAGUUCACGGGUAUGGGUCAGUCGAUCACGGGUCAAGUAGCUAAAUUAUCCAGGGGUAAAUGGGUCUUUUGACCAUGUAAAUGGAUGUGACUUCGUGAGAUUGUUGAAGCCUUUUGCAACAAGUUUUGACCAAGUUAUGUGGACGUGAUACAAAUCUUGAAGAAUCAUGUACAAAUGAAGCAAGCCAUUUUAGAGGGGGGAAACUUGGACAUUGUCCAAAGUUUUAAGACACUUUGAGGGCAAUCUAGACAUUUCAUCCAUAGAAUUCAUGUCCACUUAUGUCUUCCAUUAAUUGAAUUAAAUUAAGGAAUUAAAUAAAAAUUUUAUAAUAAUUAAAGGCAUUAAUUGAUUAAAUUAAAGGUUAGACAUGCAACCUUUGGGAUUUUCAAUAUUUAAUAGUAUGUAUAAAUAUAAAUAAUCUAUACUACCUUAUUAAGAGAAUUAGGAUUUUUACCCUUUUAUUAGUUUUACGUUGUGUACACAUUUUGAAGCAACAUGUACAAGAGAGCCAAACUAUUUUAGAGGGGGUAAACUUGCGCAUUUCCCAAAAAUUUAAGACACUUUAGGGGCAUUUUAGUGACUUAGGCAUCGUUGUA